Molecule: ribosomal RNA, 462 nt
Filed under: uncultured bacterium
Lineage: Bacteria
Description: bacterial SSU rRNA
Rfam family: Bacterial small subunit ribosomal RNA
Source: RNAcentral
GCACAAGCGGUGGAGCAUGUGGUUUAAUUCGAAGCAACGCGAAGAACCUUACCAAGUCUUGACAUACUGUGAGGACACAAGAGAUUGUGUUGUUCUGACCUUUGGUUAGACACAGAUACAGGUGGUGCAUGGUUGUCGUCAGCUCGUGUCGUGAGAUGUUGGGUUAAGUCCCGCAACGAGCGCAACCCUUAUAUCUAGUUGCCAGCAGUAAGAUGGGGACUCUAGAUAGACUGCCAGUGAUAAACUGGAGGAAGGUGGGGAUGACGUCAAAUCAUCAUGCCCCUUAUGACUUGGGCUACACACGUGCUACAAUGGAUAGGAACAAAGAGAAGCGAGCUCGCGAGAGUAAGCAAACCUCACAAAACUAUUCUCAGUUCGGAUUGUAGUCUGCAACUCGACUACAUGAAGCUGGAAUCGCUAGUAAUCGCGAAUCAGAAUGUCGCGGUGAAUACGUUCCCGGGC